CGCGAACGCUGGCGGCGUGCCUAACACAUGCAAGUCGUGCGCAGGCUCGCUCCCUUUUGGGAGCGGGUGCUGAGCGGCAAACGGGUGAGUAACACGUGGGUAACCUACCCCCAGGAGGGGGAUAACCCCGGGAAACCGGGGCUAAUACCCCAUAAUGCCACCCGCCACUAAGGCGUGGUGGCCAAAGGGGGCCUCUGGCCUUUGGCCAUGCUCCCGCCUGGGGAUGGGCCCGCGGCCCAUCAGGUAGUUGGUGGGGUAACGGCCCACCAAGCCUAUGACGGGUAGCCGGCCUGAGAGGGUGGCCGGCCACAGCGGGACUGAGACACGGCCCGCACCCCUACGGGGGGCAGCAGUGGGGAAUCGUGGGCAAUGGGCGAAAGCCUGACCCCGCGACGCCGCGUGGGGGAAGAAGCCCUGCGGGGUGUAAACCCCUGUCGGGGGGGACGAAGCGGCUAUGGGUUAAUAGCCCAUAGUCGUGACGGUACCCCCAGAGGAAGGGACGGCUAACUACGUGCCAGCAGCCGCGGUAAUACGUAGGUCCCGAGCGUUGCGCGAAGUCACUGGGCGUAAAGCGUCCGCAGCCGGUCGGGUAAGCGGGAUGUCAAAGCCCACGGCUCAACCGUGGAAUGGCAUCCCGAACUGCCCGACUUGAGGCACGCCCGGGCAGGCGGAAUUCCCGGGGUAGCGGUGAAAUGCGUAGAUCUCGGGAGGAACACCGAAGGGGAAGCCAGCCUGCUGGGGCUGUCCUGACGGUCAGGGACGAAAGCCGGGGGAGCAAACCGGAUUAGAUACCCGGGUAGUCCCGGCCGUAAACCAUGGGCGCUAGGGCUUGUCCCUUUGGGGCAGGCUCGCAGCUAACGCGUUAAGCGCCCCGCCUGGGGAGUACGGGCGCAAGCCUGAAACUCAAAGGAAUUGGCGGGGGCCCGCACAACCGGUGGAGCGUCUGGUUCAAUUCGAUGCUAACCGAAGAACCUUACCCGGGCUUGACAUGCUGGGGAGA
RNAcentral lists this ribosomal RNA (1000 nucleotides) under Aquifex sp. 0H85-SC-S. RNAcentral's name for it is "bacterial SSU rRNA". It matches the Rfam family "Bacterial small subunit ribosomal RNA", at positions 28 to 997 of the family's 1533-position model. Lineage: Bacteria; Pseudomonadati; Aquificota; Aquificia; Aquificales; Aquificaceae. The record is from RNAcentral.